RNAcentral lists this ribosomal RNA (409 nucleotides) under uncultured bacterium. RNAcentral's name for it is "bacterial SSU rRNA". It matches the Rfam family "Bacterial small subunit ribosomal RNA", at positions 350 to 751 of the family's 1533-position model. The record is from RNAcentral.
AGCAGUGGGGAAUUUUGGACAAUGGGCGCAAGCCUGAUCCAGCAAUGCCGCGUGAGUGAAGAAGGCCUUCGGGUUGUAAAGCUCUUUUGUCAGGGAAGAAACGGUGAGGGCUAAUAUCUCUUGCUAAUGACGGUACCUGAAGAAUAAGCACCGGCUAACUACGUGCCAGCAGCCGCGGUAAUACGUAGGGUGCAAGCGUUAAUCGGAAUUACUGGGCGUAAAGCGUGCGCAGGCGGUUUUGUAAGUUUGUCGUGAAAGCCCCGGGCUCAACCUGGGAAUUGCGAUGAAGACUGCAAGGCUUGAAUCUGGCAGAGGGGGGUAGAAUUCCACGUGUAGCAGUGAAAUGCGUAGAGAUGUGGAGGAACACCGAUGGCGAAGGCAGCCCCCUGGGUCAAGAUUGACGCUCAUG